GUCUAUGGUCAUGCUAUCUUGAACAAGCCCGAUCUCGUCUGAUCUCGGAAGCUAAGCAGGGUCGGGUGUGGUUAGUACUUGGAUGGGAGGCCGCCUGAAAAGACCAGGUACUGUAGGCA
Molecule: ribosomal RNA, 119 nt
Filed under: Pteropus alecto (black flying fox)
Lineage: Eukaryota; Metazoa; Chordata; Mammalia; Chiroptera; Pteropodidae
Source: RNAcentral